RNAcentral lists this ribosomal RNA (253 nucleotides) under uncultured prokaryote. Its description in RNAcentral is "partial 16S ribosomal RNA". It matches the Rfam family "Bacterial small subunit ribosomal RNA", at positions 524 to 776 of the family's 1533-position model. The record is from RNAcentral.
UACAGAGGGUGCAAGCGUUGUUCGGAAUUACUGGGCGUAAAGCGCGUGUAGGUGGCGAUGUAAGUCGGGUGUGAAAUCCCUCGGCUCAACUGAGGAAGUGCACUCGAUACUGUGUCGCUUGAGUGUUGGAGGGGAUGGCGGAAUUCCCGGUGUAGAGGUGAAAUUCGUAGAUAUCGGGAGGAACACCUGUGGCGAAGGCGGCCAUCUGGACAACUACUGACACUGAGACGCGAAAGCCGGGGGAGCAAACAGG